CCUACGGGCGCUGCAGUGGGGAAUAUUGGACAAUGGGCGAAAGCCUGAUCCAGCCAUGCCGCGUGUGUGAAGAAGGCCUUCGGGUUGUAAAGCACUUUCAGUGGGGAAGAAAGCCUUGGGGCUAAUACCCUCGAGGAAGGACAUCACCCACAGAAGAAGCACCGGCUAACUCCGUGCCAGCAGCCGCGGUAAUACGGUGGGUGCGAGCGUUAAUCGGAAUUACUGGGCGUAAAGCGCGCGUAGGCGGUCUGAUAAGCCGGUUGUGAAAGCCCCGGGCUCAACCUGGGAACGGCAUCCGGAACUGUCAGGCUAGAGUGCAGGAGAGGAAGGUAGAAUUCCCGGUGUAGCGGUGAAAUGCGUAGAGAUCGGGAGGAAUACCAGUGGCGAAGGCGGCCUUCUGGACUGACACUGACGCUGAGGUGCGAAAGCGUGGGUAGCAAACAGGAUUAGAUACCCGUGUAGUC
RNAcentral lists this ribosomal RNA (464 nucleotides) under Vreelandella stevensii. RNAcentral's name for it is "partial 16S ribosomal RNA". It matches the Rfam family "Bacterial small subunit ribosomal RNA", at positions 338 to 795 of the family's 1533-position model. The record is from RNAcentral. Lineage: Bacteria; Pseudomonadati; Pseudomonadota; Gammaproteobacteria; Oceanospirillales; Halomonadaceae.